This 22-nucleotide microRNA is filed under the name Picea abies (Norway spruce). Its description in RNAcentral is "pab-miR828". Its record names the gene pab-miR828. RNAcentral also lists the same sequence under 1 other name. Lineage: Eukaryota; Viridiplantae; Streptophyta; Pinopsida; Pinales; Pinaceae. The record is from miRBase by way of RNAcentral.
UCUUGCUCAAAUGAGUGUUCCA